Molecule: ribosomal RNA, 301 nt
Filed under: uncultured bacterium
Lineage: Bacteria
Description: partial 16S ribosomal RNA
Rfam family: Bacterial small subunit ribosomal RNA
Source: RNAcentral
CAGUCGCCGCGGUAAUACGGAGGGUGCAAGCGUUAAUCGGAAUUACUGGGCGUAAAGCGUGCGCAGGCGGUUAUAUAAGUCAGAUGCGAAAUCCCCGGGCUCAACCUGGGAACUGCAUUUGAGACUGUAUGGCUAGAGUGUGUCAGAGGGGGGUAGAAUUCCACGUGUAGCAGUGAAAUGCGUAGAUAUGUGGAGGAAUACCGAUGGCGAAGGCAGCCCCCUGGGAUAACACUGACGCUCAUGCACGAAAGCGUGGGGAGCAAACAGGAUUAGAGACCCCUGUAGUCCCUGUCUCUUAUAC